This 861-nucleotide ribosomal RNA is filed under the name uncultured bacterium. Its description in RNAcentral is "bacterial SSU rRNA". It matches the Rfam family "Bacterial small subunit ribosomal RNA", at positions 56 to 924 of the family's 1533-position model. The record is from RNAcentral.
UGCAGUCGAGGGGUAUAUUUCUUCGGAGAUAGAGACCGGCGCACGGGUGCGUAACGCGUAUGCAAUCUACCUUUUACAGAGGGAUAGCCCAGAGAAAUUUGGAUUAAUACCUCAUAGCAUAGCAGCUUCGCAUGAAGCCACUAUUAAAGUCACAACGGUAAAAGAUGAGCAUGCGUCCCAUUAGCUAGUUGGUAAGGUAACGGCUUACCAAGGCUACGAUGGGUAGGGGUCCUGAGAGGGAGAUCCCCCACACUGGUACUGAGACACGGACCAGACUCCUACGGGAGGCAGCAGUGAGGAAUAUUGGACAAUGGGCGCAAGCCUGAUCCAGCCAUGCCGCGUGCAGGAUGACGGUCCUAUGGAUUGUAAACUGCUUUUAUGCGAGAAGAAACACUGCUUCGUGAAGCAGCUUGACGGUAUCGUAAGAAUAAGGAUCGGCUAACUCCGUGCCAGCAGCCGCGGUAAUACGGAGGAUCCAAGCGUUAUCCGGAAUCAUUGGGUUUAAAGGGUCCGUAGGCGGUUUGGUAAGUCAGUGGUGAAAGCCCAUCGCUCAACGGUGGAACGGCCAUUGAUACUGCCAGACUUGAAUUAUUAGGAAGUAACUAGAAUAUGUAGUGUAGCGGUGAAAUGCUUAGAGAUUACAUGGAAUACCAAUUGCGAAGGCAGGUUACUACUAAUGGAUUGACGCUGAUGGACGAAAGCGUGGGUAGCGAACAGGAUUAGAUACCCUGGUAGUCCACGCCGUANACGAUGGAUACUAGCUGUUGGAAGCAAUUUCAGUGGCUAAGCGAAAGUGAUAAGUAUCCCACCUGGGGAGUACGUUCGCAAGAAUGAAACUCAAAGGAAUUGACGGGGGCCCGC